GAUGAACGCUGGCGGCGCAUUUAAGACAUGCAAGUCGAACGAAAAGUUCUUACCGAACGGAUAUGAAGAUUUAUCAGAUUUGAAGUUCACCAAGAAUUUUUAGUGGCGGACGGGUGAGUAAUACGUAGAUAAUCUGCCUUUCAGAGAGAAAUAACAGAAGGAAACUUCUGCUAAUGUCUCAUAAGACCACACUAUGGCAUCUUAGAGUGAUCAAAGGAGUAAUCCGCUGAAAGAUGAGUCUACGGCUGAUUAGCCAGUUGGCGGGGUAAUGGCCCACCAAAGCUAUGAUCAGUAGCCGAGCUGAGAGGCUGGCCGGCCACAUUGGGACUGAGACACGGCCCAG
This 343-nucleotide ribosomal RNA is filed under the name uncultured bacterium. Its description in RNAcentral is "bacterial SSU rRNA". It matches the Rfam family "Bacterial small subunit ribosomal RNA", at positions 28 to 334 of the family's 1533-position model. The record is from RNAcentral.